Molecule: long non-coding RNA, 751 nt
Filed under: Heterocephalus glaber (naked mole-rat)
Lineage: Eukaryota; Metazoa; Chordata; Mammalia; Rodentia; Bathyergidae
Description: lncRNA (ENSHGLG00000025234.2)
Source: RNAcentral
GUAAGAUUGCACAACCAGCUGGAGGACAGCCCUUUGGGACAUGGGAGAGCACAUGCUCCUGGGCCAGGCCUGGGGCCACUGGUCCCUGAGCAAGUCUGCCAGCCUUCUGAGCAGAGCUGUCCCUGGCUUGGGGGCCUCUCCAGUCUGGCUGUUCCCCCAUGGGGGAGACUUGCCCCUCCAUAGAGAAGCUCUAUAACGUCCUGCCGCGCACUGUGCAGGGAGUCAGUGGGAAGGAGAGUGGUAUGGAGACUGAGCUGCCUCAGUUUGAAUCCCGCCUGGCAGGUCACCAGGCAAAUGAUGGCUGGGUCUGUUGGCAGAUGCGGUGCUCAUCUUCAGCUCCCUCCAAGCAGUGUGUAUUAUACAGUCAAGGUCAUGAUCUCAAAGUGUCAAAUGUCCUGGAAAGAGGUUCAGAAGACGUCUCUGAAAAGAGAGGAUCAGAAGACUUGUUUCUGCUCCUAGCUAGUCACCCAGAGGAUCUGGACUUCUAACAAGCCCAAGAGAGAAACAAGGCAGAUAUUAUUGCCUGUGCUAUUCUGAAGGUAAGGUGGCCAAAUUUCAAGGAAACAUACUUGUCUAUGCCAACCCGUCCCCUUGGUUGGGGAGAAAACUGGUUCUUCCCAUUCUCAAACGCUCUCAUUUUAAAGUUUAAAACUUCUACAGAUGGACAAUGCAAGGAUGGUGAUCUCUUUAAUCUGAACAUUUGAGGAUCUAAUUUUGUCCAAAGUAAGUGACAGGUGGGUGAGAAGAGAGC